AACGUACGGCCAUACUGAUAUGCACAUGCCUAGAAAGGGGAAAUUGAGAGUUUAAUAAACGAGAUGUUGGAGGCUAGGAUCAUCAAGCCAAGUGGCUCUCAAUAACAUCACGGUCCCAGAUAAGUUUCCCAUACCAGUGGUGGAGGAACUACUUGAUGAAUUGCACGGAUCUAGGGUGUAUUCGAAGAUUGACUUGAGAUCGAGCUACCAUCAAAUCCGUAUGGCAGUAGAGGAUACCCACAAAACAACCUUCAGGACUCGUGAACACUAUGAGUUCUUGGUGAUGCCCUUCGGUUUGACCAAUGCCCCGUCAACCUUUCAGGUGCUAAAGAAUAAUGUAUUUCGUCCAUUCCUACAAAGGUGCGUGCUCAUCUUCUUUGAUGAUAUUCUGAUAUAUAGCCUUAAUCUUCAAUCUCACUUGACUCAUUUGGCCAUGGUGUUCAAUAUGCUGAGGGACAAUAAGAUGUUUGUGAACCUAAAGAAGUGCCACUUCGUCGUAGAAUGCAUAGAAUACUUGGGCUAUUGGGUGUCGGCUAAGGGUUUGGAAGCAGACUCAUCCAAGAUAGCAGCCAUGAUUCAAUGGCCAGUGUAAAAGAGCUUCAAGGCUUUCUGGGGUUGACGGGCUAUUAUCGGAAGUUUGUAGCCAAUUAUGGCACUAUAGCUGCUCAUCUAACACAGUUUCUCAAGAAGGAUGGCUUCCAAUGGACUGAGCAGACCACAGAGGCCUUUGAAAAGCUAAAAAUGGCAAUGGAGACAUUACCCAUUUUGGCGCUACCAGAUUUCACCAUCCCUUUCAUGAUUGAAAUGGAUGCAUCAGACACUGGCUUAGGGGCCGUCCUCACCCAGAACCAGCAGCCCAUCGCCCAUCGCCUACUCCACGGAUUCCCUUGAUCCAUCAUCUCCAACAGAGAUAAAGUCUUUAUCAGCCAUUUUUGAAUUGAGUUAUUCAAGUUGCAGGGCACUACUCCGAAACAAAGUACCACGUACCAUCCACAAACGGAUGGGCAAUCAAAGAUCGUCAAUCGAUGCUUGGAAACAUACCUCAGGUGUUUUAACAGUGAGAAGCCCAAACAAUGGGGUCACUGGCUACCGUGGGCAGAAUACUGGUAUAACACCACCUACCACAACUCUCUUGGCUCAACCCCUUUCCAGGCAGUGUACGGACGGGCCCCUCCACCAUUGAUCCUUUAUGGGAGCCAAAGGACCAUGAAUGCCACCUUCGACCAACAGCCGACAGAGAGGUACUUGGCCUUAGAAUGACUGAAGGAACAUUAGAAGCUACUAGCUAUGAGUAGGGUGAGCGAGUAGGCCUAUAAGGGGAGGAAAUGUUGUAAGGAGAGGAUCAUUCUGGUUUUCUGUGCUUUUGCUAGCUUAGUAGCUGUUUUGGGAGAGAUUCCCCACCUCUCGAAUUGGUGGGUUGGCUUUUGUAUUGCCUUCGGGCCUUAUCUUUUGAGUAAAGAAAUCUUGUGGGGAGAUACCUCACACUACCUUGCUCCAUGGGCAGGAGAAGUUUAUCCCAUU
Long non-coding RNA from Momordica charantia (bitter melon), 1521 nucleotides. RefSeq lists it as uncharacterized. The record is from RefSeq and is a predicted model, not a curated record. Lineage: Eukaryota; Viridiplantae; Streptophyta; Magnoliopsida; Cucurbitales; Cucurbitaceae.